This 449-nucleotide ribosomal RNA is filed under the name uncultured bacterium. RNAcentral describes it as "partial 16S ribosomal RNA". The record is from RNAcentral.
CAAGCAUAAUCUCUUCAGUACCUCUCCUCUUUAGGGGGAGAACUAUCACCGACUCUCUACCCCUCUACUUCCCUUUCCUAUUCUUAAGAUCAGUACGAGGCACCCCACCAUCCCCCCUCACAAAGAGGCAAGCACGCCAUCUGGGGCUGUGGUGUCUGGGUGCGAUAGCCGGCUAGACGUGCUCCUAGCGCGGUGGCCCAGACCAUCAGCACCGCACACCUCUCCCUCAACCCCAGGCGACGGGAGCCCCGCUCGUGCGGCCCCCACCGGGGGGCGACCGCACGCGCAACGCUUCACCCUGCGCUACAGCAAACCCCCAGGACCGAGCAAGCCAAUAAACAAAUCAAAUCGAAUAUCUCACGUGGUAGCCGCCGUGGGUCUGAUGGCCCCUCUUCUCAGUCGACAGUAUCUAGACCCUUCACAACUAUAUUCCGCAUCGCAGCCGAAGA